UGCCACAUGCAUCAUACUAUGCCAUCUACAUCGUAGCAAGUUCAAUCUGCCUAUGAUACUGUGUGUAUAUAGAUAGCAGCUGACUCAAUCUUUUAGGGGCCAGUGGAUCAUUCUUGUGACGGGUUAGCACCCGUUAGUAGUUAACUUACGCAACCAACUCCCCUUCUACACCCGUUCGCCCUUCUCAUUGCGAUCCCGCUCGCGUAGUUCCUAACGAUUCCUCCGCGUAACCCUUAAUGUUCUUCCGCUCCGCGCUCCACUGUGGCGCGGCUUCUGAUAUUCCUCCGUCCUGAUCUCCCCUCUAUAAGAACCCCUUCAUACGACCUUUCCUUCUGAUCUCUUUUCUCUUUCUUUCUUUAAUCGAUUCGUAAACUGUAUUUAGGAUAGUGCUUAGUCUGUUAAUCAGUAGUACGCCCGUUACAAUUCUGUUAUAGUGCUGCUAUUUUAGCAAAGAAAAACAAGAAAUUAAGAGCUGCAAAUGAGAAGCAAAAGAGAAAGUGAGAGAAAGAUUAUAUAUAUAGCUCAGAAAGAUGUUUUAAGAGUUAAAAGAAGAAAUAGAUUGUAUACAAAUUAUCAAUAAAGAGAAAAGAGA
Molecule: small RNA, 592 nt
Filed under: Histoplasma ohiense
Lineage: Eukaryota; Fungi; Ascomycota; Eurotiomycetes; Onygenales; Ajellomycetaceae
Description: hypothetical lncRNA
Source: RNAcentral